GAGGGUGCAGCUCAGUGGUAGAGAGUGUGCUUAGCAUGCACGAGGUCCUGGGUUCAAUCCCCAGUACUUCCA
This 72-nucleotide transfer RNA is filed under the name Camelus bactrianus (Bactrian camel). It matches the Rfam family "tRNA". From Rfam's summary of the family: Transfer RNA (tRNA) molecules are approximately 80 nucleotides in length. Lineage: Eukaryota; Metazoa; Chordata; Mammalia; Artiodactyla; Camelidae. The record is from Rfam by way of RNAcentral. RNAcentral also lists the same sequence under 2 other names.